GACUCAGUCGAUUACAUGUCAUCAAAACCAUUACAUGGUCAUCCCGUCUCUUCAUUCUUGACUCUAAAUCACGACCCUAUAGGCAUAAUUUAUUUUUAGUGGAAUCACGGCCCCACUCGGCAAAUUUUCUAAACUUGGUGGCAUCACGGCCCCACCUGGCAAAUGUUCUCAACUUGGUGGCAUCACGGCCCCACCUGGCAAUUUUUCUCAACUUGGUGGCAUCACGGCCCCACCUGGCAAUUUUUUCUCAACUUGGUGGCAUCACGGCCCCACCUGGCAAUCUUUAAUCCAACUCACAACCUCACACAGUUACUUUCCUUUCAAGUACCGACAUUUUCCCAAUUUUGGGACAAAUUCUCAUAUUCACCAAUUUCACAAAAAAUUCAUAAUCUGAUGCUCGAAUAAAUAAACAGAAAGCACCAUUGGAAUCAGCACAAAAUUUCGGUCGUCGGCUAUCCCAGCCUAAUUUCCGGAAAAUAAAUAAUUAAUUAGAUAAUUACGGAAAAUAUUAAAUAAAUGCAAUAAAUCCAACUUAGGCCCGUUAUAGCCUAAUUGGAAGCCGAUACGAACCCGGAAAAUUACCGAGACUCGUUCCAUAAAUAACAUGGCAUGCCUACUUGCUAAUGUCUAUUUAUAACCACCUAACAUGCAUCAUUAAGUCUCUAAUUUAAUUGAUCUAAACUAAUCUAACCACCUAAUUGCAUUUAAUUAAAUCUAACCAACCCCUAAACGAAUUUAGCAAACUAAUAAAGCAUUAGUGAGUAAAACUCAC
Molecule: long non-coding RNA, 772 nt
Filed under: Eucalyptus grandis
Lineage: Eukaryota; Viridiplantae; Streptophyta; Magnoliopsida; Myrtales; Myrtaceae
Description: long non-coding RNA (EGRA_LNC005344)
Source: RNAcentral